RNAcentral lists this transfer RNA (80 nucleotides) under Babesia orientalis. RNAcentral's name for it is "tRNA-Met". It matches the Rfam family "tRNA". Rfam says of the family: Transfer RNA (tRNA) molecules are approximately 80 nucleotides in length. Their secondary structure includes four short double-helical elements and three loops (D, anti-codon, and T loops). Further hydrogen bonds mediate the characteristic L-shaped molecular structure. tRNAs have two regions of fundamental functional importance: the anti-codon, which is responsible for specific mRNA codon recognition, and the 3' end, to which the tRNAs corresponding amino acid is attached (by aminoacyl-tRNA synthetases). tRNAs cope with the degeneracy of the genetic code in two manners: having more than one tRNA (with a specific anti-codon) for a particular amino acid; and 'wobble' base-pairing, i.e. permitting non-standard base-pairing at the 3rd anti-codon position. Lineage: Eukaryota; Apicomplexa; Aconoidasida; Piroplasmida; Babesiidae. The record is from RNAcentral.
GUAUCUAUCGCUUAGAGGUCAAUAGCGAUGAGCUCAUGACUCAUUAUACCAUAUCAGUAGUUCGAAUCUACUUAGAUACA